This 881-nucleotide ribosomal RNA is filed under the name Proteus mirabilis. RNAcentral's name for it is "partial 23S ribosomal RNA". It matches the Rfam family "Bacterial large subunit ribosomal RNA", at positions 890 to 1770 of the family's 2925-position model. The record is from RNAcentral. Lineage: Bacteria; Pseudomonadati; Pseudomonadota; Gammaproteobacteria; Enterobacterales; Morganellaceae.
UCAUCUUCGGGGGUAGAGCACUGUUUCGACUAGGGGGUCAUCCCGACUUACCAACUCGAUGCAAACUGCGAAUACCGAAGAAUGUUAUCACGGGAGACACACGGCGGGUGCUAACGUCCGUCGUGAAGAGGGAAACAACCCAGACCGCCAGCUAAGGUCCCAAAGUCAUGGUUAAGUGGGAAACGAAGUGGGAAGGCUCAGACAGCCAGGAUGUUGGCUUAGAAGCAGCCAUCAUUUAAAGAAAGCGUAAUAGCUCACUGGUCGAGUCGGCCCGCGCGGAAGAUGUAACGGGGCUAAACCAUGCACCGAAGCUGCGGCAGCGACACAAAGUGUUGUUGGGUAGGGGAGCGUUCUGUAAGCCUGCGAAGGUGUACUGUGAGGUAUGCUGGAGGUAUCAGAAGUGCGAAUGCUGACAUAAGUAACGAUAAUGCGGGUGAAAAACCCGCACGCCGGAAGACCAAGGGUUCCUGUCCAACGUUAAUCGGGGCAGGGUGAGUCGACCCCUAAGGCGAGGCUGAAAAGCGUAGUCGAUGGGAAACGGGUUAAUAUUCCCGUACUGGUGGUAACUGCGAUGGGGGAACGGAGAAGGCUAGGUUGUCCGGGCGACGGUCGUCCCGGUUCAAGCAGGUAGGCAGAGUGAUUAGGCAAAUCCGGUCACUUAAUGCUGAGAUGUGAUGACGAACCACCAAGGUGGUGAAGCAAUUGAUGCCCCGCUUCCAGGAAAAGCCUCUAAGCUUCAGGUUACCAACAAUCGUACCCCAAACCGACACAGGUGGUCAGGUAGAGAAUACUCAGGCGCUUGAGAGAACUCGGGUGAAGGAACUAGGCAAAAUGGUGCCGUAACUUCGGGAGAAGGCACGCUGGCGGUAGGUAAAGUCCCU